GAGUUUGAUCGUGGCUCAGAUUGAACGCUGGCGGCAUGCCUUACACAUGCAAGUCGAACGGUAACAGGUCUUCGGACGCUGACGAGUGGCGAACGGGUGAGUAAUACAUCGGAACGUGCCCAGUCGUGGGGGAUAACUACUCGAAAGAGUAGCUAAUACCGCAUACGAUCUGAGGAUGAAAGCGGGGGACCUUCGGCCUCGCGCGAUUGGAGCGGCCGAUGGCAGAUUAGGUAGUUGGUGGGAUAAAAGCUUACCAAGCCGACGAUCUGUAGCUGGUCGUGAGAGGACGACCAGCCACACUGGGACGUGAGACACGGCCCAGACUCCUACGGGAGGCAGCAGUGGGGAAUUUUGGACAAUGGGCGAAAGCCUGAUCCAGCAAUGCCGCGUGCAGGAUGAAGGCC
This 404-nucleotide ribosomal RNA is filed under the name uncultured microorganism. RNAcentral describes it as "bacterial SSU rRNA". It matches the Rfam family "Bacterial small subunit ribosomal RNA", at positions 9 to 416 of the family's 1533-position model. The record is from RNAcentral.